Molecule: ribosomal RNA, 253 nt
Filed under: uncultured bacterium
Lineage: Bacteria
Description: partial 16S ribosomal RNA
Rfam family: Bacterial small subunit ribosomal RNA
Source: RNAcentral
UACGUAGGGGGCAAGCGUUGUCCGGAUUUAUUGGGCGUAAAGAGCGUGUAGGCGGCCAGGUAGGUCAGCUGUGAAAACUCGAGGCUCAACCUCGAGACGCCGGUUGAAACCAUCUGGCUAGAGUCCGGAAGAGGAGAGUGGAAUUCCUGGUGUAGCGGUGAAAUGCGCAGAUAUCAGGAAGAACACCCGUUGCUAAGGCGGCUCUCUAGUACGGUACUGACGCUGAGACGCGAAAGCGUGGAGAGCGAACAGG